RNAcentral lists this ribosomal RNA (474 nucleotides) under uncultured bacterium. RNAcentral's name for it is "SSU rRNA". It matches the Rfam family "Bacterial small subunit ribosomal RNA", at positions 26 to 518 of the family's 1533-position model. The record is from RNAcentral.
AGAACGAACGCUGGCGGCGCGCUUAACACAUGCAAGUCGAGCGCUUCUGGGGCAACUCAGAGGAGCGGCGGACGGGUGCGUAACACGUGGGUAAUCUGCCCUCGAGAUCGGGAUAACUCGCCGAAAGGCGAGCUAAUACCGGAUAAGCCCCCAGGUUCCUAGGGACCCGAGGGAAAAGGCAGCAAUGCGCUUGAGGAUGAGCCCGCGGCCCAUCAGCUAGUUGGCGGGGUAACGGCCCACCAAGGCAACGACGGGUAUCUGGUCUGAGAGGACGGCCAGACACACUGGAACUGAGACACGGUCCAGACUCCUACGGGAGGCAGCAGUGGGGAAUCUUGCGCAAUGGAGGAAACUCUGACGCAGCGACGCCGCGUGUGCGAUGAAGGUCUUCGGAUCGUAAAGCACUGUCGCGAGGGAAAAAUAAUUGAUGGUACCUCGAGAGGAAGCACCGGCUAACUCUGUGCCAGCAGCCGC